AGUGAACGCUGGCGGUAGGCCUAACACAUGCAAGUCGAACGGCAGCACAGUAAGAGCUUGCUCUUACGGGUGGCGAGUGGCGGACGGGUGAGGAAUACAUCGGAAUCUACUUUUUCGUGGGGGAUAACGUAGGGAAACUUACGCUAAUACCGCAUACGACCUACGGGUGAAAGCAGGGGAUCUUAGGACCUUGCGCGAUUGAAUGAGCCGAUGUCGGAUUAGCUAGUUGGCGGGGUAAAGGCCCACCAAGGCGACGAUCCGUAGCUGGUCUGAGAGGAUGAUCAGCCACACUGGAACUGAGACACGGUCCAGACUCCUACGGGAGGCAGCAGUGGGGAAUAUUGGACAAUGGGCGCAAGCCUGAUCCAGCCAUACCGCGUGGGUGAAGAAGGCCUUCGGGUUGUAAAGCCCUUUUGUUUGGAAAGAAAAGCAGCAGGUUAAUACCCCGCUGUUCUGACGGUACCAAAAGAAUAAGCACCGGCUAACUUCGUG
RNAcentral lists this ribosomal RNA (492 nucleotides) under uncultured bacterium. RNAcentral's name for it is "partial 16S ribosomal RNA". It matches the Rfam family "Bacterial small subunit ribosomal RNA", at positions 29 to 507 of the family's 1533-position model. The record is from RNAcentral.